AACGGUCUAUACCUGCGGUACCUGCGGAGGGAUCAUUAACGCGCCGUGGAGGUUGCCUUUAAACAGGUCUGACCUUCCACCUGGCCACCCUUGUUUAUCUUUAACCUGUUGCUUUGGUGGGCCCGCUGCAAGGCCGCUGGAGAAUUUAAAAGUUUUCUGGCCCGUGCCCACCAAAGUCCUAGCGAACUCUUUGUUAAUUUUCUGCUGUCUGAGCAUUAAAAGAAACAAUUUUUAAAACUU
Molecule: unclassified non-coding RNA, 240 nt
Filed under: soil metagenome
Description: partial contains 5.8S ribosomal RNA, internal transcribed spacer 2, and large subunit ribosomal RNA
Source: RNAcentral